RNAcentral lists this ribosomal RNA (254 nucleotides) under uncultured bacterium. Its description in RNAcentral is "partial 16S ribosomal RNA". It matches the Rfam family "Bacterial small subunit ribosomal RNA", at positions 524 to 776 of the family's 1533-position model. The record is from RNAcentral.
UACGGGGGGGGGUAAGCGUUGUUCGGAAUUACUGGGCGUAAAGGGCUCGUAGGCGGCCAACUAAGUCAGACGUGAAAUCCCUCAGCUUAACUGGGGAACUGCGUCUGAUACUGGAUGGCUUGGAUUCGGGAGAGGAAUGCGGAAUUCCUGGUGUAGCGGUGAAAUGCGUAGAUAUCAGGAGGAACACCGGUGGUGUAGACGGCUUUCUGGACCGUAACUGACGCUGAAACACGAAAGCGUGGGUAGCAAACAGG